UACGUAGGGUGCAAGCGUUGUCCGGAAUUAUUGGGCGUAAAGAGCUCGUAGGCGGUUUGUCGCGUCGAAUGUGAAAACCCGGGGCUCAACCCCGGGCCUGCAUUCGAUACGGGCAGACUAGAGUUCGGUAGGGGGAGUCGUGGAAUUCCUGGGUGUAGCGGUGAAAUGCGCAGAUAUCAGGAGGAACACCGGUGGCGAAGGCGGGUCGCUGGGCAACAACUGACGCUGAGGAGCGAAAGCGUGGGGAGCGAACAGG
This 256-nucleotide ribosomal RNA is filed under the name uncultured bacterium. RNAcentral's name for it is "partial 16S ribosomal RNA". It matches the Rfam family "Bacterial small subunit ribosomal RNA", at positions 524 to 776 of the family's 1533-position model. The record is from RNAcentral.